RNAcentral lists this long non-coding RNA (255 nucleotides) under Elaeis guineensis (African oil palm). RNAcentral describes it as "long non-coding RNA (EGUI_LNC006947)". Lineage: Eukaryota; Viridiplantae; Streptophyta; Magnoliopsida; Arecales; Arecaceae. The record is from RNAcentral.
AGGUAUGUCUGGGAAUGCUGUAGUUUUAGAUCAAAGUAUAAUUUUUAGGUAAAAUUAUUUUAAAAUAAAAUAAUUUUUUAUUUGACUAUCAAUAUCUUAAAAUUAUUAUAAAAUUAUAAAAAUAAUUUACUGUAUGUUUGGUUAACAAACACAAAAAUUAUUUUUGAAUAAUAAAAUAAUCAAAAAGAAUAAAUAUCUUAAAUGAUUCUUAAAUUGUUUGGAUCUAAAAUUUUUUGUUGUCAUUAGAUGGGGAUG